This 253-nucleotide ribosomal RNA is filed under the name uncultured bacterium. Its description in RNAcentral is "partial 16S ribosomal RNA". It matches the Rfam family "Bacterial small subunit ribosomal RNA", at positions 524 to 776 of the family's 1533-position model. The record is from RNAcentral.
UACGAAGGGGGCUAGCGUUGCUCGGAAUCACUGGGCGUAAAGCGCACGUAGGCGGCUUCUUAAGUCAGGGGUGAAAUCCUGGAGCUCAACUCCAGAACUGCCCUUGAUACUGAGGAGCUCGAGUCCGGAAGAGGUGAGUGGAACUCCGAGUGUAGAGGUGAAAUUCGUAGAUAUUCGCAAGAACACCAGUGGCGAAGGCGGCUCACUGGCCCGGUACUGACGCUGAGGUGCGAAAGCGUGGGGAGCAAACAGG